AUAAUUGACCUCCCAAAAACCAAAUCCUGAAAGUUUAUAAAUGCUGAUGACAUCUGUCUGGCAACACAACCCCCCUGUUUUGACGCCUCAGACCAGAUCCUAAAUGAGGGCCUAACACAACUUAGUACUUCAAUACAUGGCGACUCAAACCAAGCCCCACAAAAACAGAAUCCAGUCUAUUCCACCUCUACAGCGCACAAACUACAACAAAGCUCAACAUUCAGAUGAGCAAUCUGAAACAGCAGCACCAGCCAAGGUGAAAACAAUGAACAAUCUGAUCUCUGAACUUGGUGAAAUAUGGGGCGCUGCCACUGCCACCCUCCAGACCUCAUCCUGGGCACUGUCUUUCUUAGCAGCAGAAUACUGCCCUCACUGUCUGGUCAAGAUCAUCAAUAGGCAUCCAGCUGAGUUCUAUCAUGAGCAACAUCACUGGAGCCCUACACUCCACCCCACUCCCCUGACUCCCACCACACAUCUGAUGACUUGCAAUCACCCAGGAAAUGCUCACAAAGUUCCGAAAUGCUGCUCACUUGCCCCUACAUGGGGACAUCUUUAAUACAAAGUCCACCUGGGCUCAAGAAUGGGAAUCCCUGGACCUAACAGUCACAGGCCCUAUCCAACAUCCCCCUGACCUUCUCUUCCCAGGACACUCUGAGUUGCUUCAGGACUGGCCAGGGUCUGUGUCCUGCCAGCCUCUAUAGACGAGGAAUCGAUGUCUGUCUUCUUGUGGGAUUUAGCAAACUAUGCAGCUUAUCCUAGAUACCUGCCCACUCCACAGACUCAGUGGAGGUCUACUUACCCUCAACAGAGUGACCAGAAUCUAUCGCUGGGCUCAGGGACUUUUGAUUCACUAAAUAACUAUAAAAUUGUUCUGAAUUUACAGUGACAGCUUUACUGACCACAUUCAAUACUGAAUUAAUACAAGUUUUCAUUUAUUUACAAAAAACGUGGUUGUUAAUUGGAGAUGCUGAUGAUUCACUCAAGGUGAAGACAGCUAUGGUUCAAUUAGUCUUAUUCCUAAAACAGUGGAUUGUCUGCCAGUUCCACAUGGAUUACUGCACAUGAUUUGGAUUGACUUGAGCCAAUAAAUGAUUAAACACAA
This is a non-coding RNA of Lepisosteus oculatus (spotted gar), 1102 nucleotides long. The record is from RefSeq and is a predicted model, not a curated record. Lineage: Eukaryota; Metazoa; Chordata; Actinopteri; Semionotiformes; Lepisosteidae.